This 486-nucleotide ribosomal RNA is filed under the name Triticum aestivum (bread wheat). Its description in RNAcentral is "partial small subunit ribosomal RNA". Lineage: Eukaryota; Viridiplantae; Streptophyta; Magnoliopsida; Poales; Poaceae. The record is from RNAcentral.
AUGGUGCGUUCACACAAUAUUCAUCAUCGACACUUGACAGAGGCAGAUCCCACCGCUAACCUCAGCAGCAAUAGUUGCAACCAAACAUGGGCUGAAUGCGAAAGGGACAGCCUGACAGCGCGCACAGUACCCCCACCGCGUGGCGGAAGAUCUCCGCAACUGCUACGACGACAUCUACUCCAACCUCCUCUCCAGCAGCAAGGGAUGCUCGCUCUGCCUGGUAGCUAUGGGUCCAAAGUGUGCAUAACUCUUGCUAACCUGGACGUACUGUCUUCUAGAAACAGGAUUGUUGGUGUUGAGCUGUUGAUCACUCUAUUGAAUGGAUUGCUGAAAGAGGGCACCGUUUGGAGUCGGUUGAAGACAACGGUGCAUAAAACACAUGGGCCUGCUCUUAAUCUCAGGACGCCAUGGGAGAAAGCGCGUGACCUUCUAGUAUUCUUGAAUACUAGAGAUGAUUCUUUAUUCACCAUGGAAGAUUUGUGCUAA